RNAcentral lists this ribosomal RNA (465 nucleotides) under Vreelandella stevensii. RNAcentral describes it as "partial 16S ribosomal RNA". It matches the Rfam family "Bacterial small subunit ribosomal RNA", at positions 338 to 795 of the family's 1533-position model. The record is from RNAcentral. Lineage: Bacteria; Pseudomonadati; Pseudomonadota; Gammaproteobacteria; Oceanospirillales; Halomonadaceae.
CCUACGGGAGGCUGCAGUGGGGAAUAUUGGACAAUGGGGGCAACCCUGAUCCAGCCAUGCCGCGUGUGUGAAGAAGGCCCUCGGGUUGUAAAGCACUUUCAGUGAGGAAGAACGCCUGGUGGUUAAUACCCAUCAGGAAAGACAUCACUCACAGAAGAAGCACCGGCUAACUCCGUGCCAGCAGCCGCGGUAAUACGGAGGGUGCGAGCGUUAAUCGGAAUUACUGGGCGUAAAGCGCGCGUAGGUGGCUUGAUAAGCCGGUUGUGAAAGCCCCGGGCUCAACCUGGGAACGGCAUCCGGAACUGUCAAGCUAGAGUGCAGGAGAGGAAGGUAGACUUCCCGGUGUAGCGGUGAAAUGCGUAGAGAUCGGGAGGAAUACCAGUGGCGAAGGCGGCCUUCUGGACUGACACUGACACUGAGGUGCGAAAGCGUGGGUAGCAAACAGGAUUAGAUACCCCUGUAGUC